This 223-nucleotide unclassified non-coding RNA is filed under the name uncultured Actinomycetes bacterium. Its description in RNAcentral is "uncultured actinobacterium contains 16S-23S intergenic spacer region". Lineage: Bacteria; Bacillati; Actinomycetota; Actinomycetes. The record is from RNAcentral.
UCCGAGUUGACCCCGGCAGUCUCCUGCGAGUCCCCGCCAUUACGCGCUGGCAACACAGGACAAGGGUUGCGCUCGUUGCGGGACUUAACCCAACAUCUCACGACACGAGCUGACGACAGCCAUGCACCACCUGUGAUCCUGCCCAAAAGGGAAGCCGUGUUUCCACGGCGGUCAGGAACAUGUCAAACCCAGGUAAGGUGGGGAUGACGUUAGCCUAUCGAGA